CUAACAUGCUGAGGUCUGCUGAUCAGAAACUCCAUAAUCCAGUUGCAGAGGGAGGUGUUAAUGUCCAGGUCUCCAAGUUUUGUGGUCAGCUUGGUGGGAAAGACAGUGUUAAAUGCUGAGCUGAAGUCAACAAACAACAUCCGUACAUAUGUGUUGUUAUUGUCCAAGUGUGUGAGUACAGAGUGCAGCACUGUGCAUACUGCAUCCUCUGUGCUCCUAUUUCUACAGUAAGCAAAGUGGUGUGGGUCCAGUGUGGGUGGGAGGCAGUCUUUGAGGUGUGCUUCGGGUAGGUGGUCUGCUGAGAGUGUGAUCUUGGUGGCUGUCACCUUGCUGUCGAUGUUGAAGCGAGCAUAAAAGUAAUUUAGCUCGUUAAGGAAGGAGACGUCUGUGACCGUUGGAGUAAAGUUGCUUGACUUGUAGUCACUGAUGACCUGGAUGUCCUGCCAUAUGCGCCGGGGGCCAGAGUUGGAAAAGUGUUCCUCUACCUUCAGCUUCUAGCAGUACUUGGCCUUUUUGAUGCCCCUCCUCAGGUUAGCCCUGGAUUUGCUGUAGGCCUGAGUGUCAUCUGACCUGAAGGCAGUAUUGCGGGCUUUCGGCAGAAGUCGCACCUCCUUGUUCAUCCAUGGCUUCUGAUUAGAGUAUGUUAUGAUCUGUUUUUCUGUUGUAACACUGUCAAUGGUGGUGUUGAUGUAAUCCAGUACAGAGGAGGUAUAGAUAUCAAUGUCCGUGUGAGAGCCACAGGCAGCCUGAGAAGCAAACAUGCUCCAGUCCGUGCAUUGAAACCUGUCCUGAAGAGUCUGCUCCAGUUGGCCACACCCUGAUGGUCCUCACUGAUGGCUUCAAAUGGUUGAUGAGGGGUGAAUACUUAGGGGUGAGAAACAAAGAAAGGUGAUCAGACUGUCCGAGGUGGGGGAGGGGGGUCGCGGUGUAAGCUCCAUCAAUGUUUGUUUAAACAUGAUCCAAAGUUUUGUCUCCUCUAGUGUGGCAGGAAGCAUGUUGAUGGAAUUUGGGGAGCACUGUCUUUAAUUUGGAGUGAUUAAAAUCACCUGCGACAAUAAAAGCAGCCUCCGGGUGAGCAGUCUGUUGUUUACUAAUGGCCGCAUGAAGUUCGUUCAAAACAAGCUUGGCAUUAACAUCCGGUGGAAUAUAGACUGCUGUUAUAAUGGUGGAAGUGAACUCCCGCAGCAGAUAAAAGGGUCUACACUUAACCAUGAGAAACUCUAGGUUAGCGGAGCAGUGUCUCCCAACAAUGACAGUGUUCGUACACCAAGCUUUGUUAACAUAAAUGCACAAUCCACCACCUCUUGUCUUGCUGGGGUCAUCUGCCGUUCUAUCUGCCCGGACCAUGUAGCGUCCAGCUAGCUCAAUAGCAUUAUUGGGUAUGUCGCCGUGUAGCCAUGUUUCUGUGAAAACCAUGACAUUGCAUUCCAAAAGUCUCUUACUGUGGGUGAUGCGAAGUCGUUUCUCAUCCAUUUUGUUCACCAGAGACCACACAUUAGCGAGGAAAAUGCUGGGUAAAGAAAGCAGGAGUGGUGUUAGCUUUAGCUUAGCUCUUAGACCUCUGCACUCCCCCCACCUUUGUUUACGAUCUUGACGCCACCUGCAAGCACUUCCGCCCGGCUGGGUAGAGUGCUUAACCUCGGGUGUUCUGGAGAUCUCAGGGAUGAGUCGAAGAUUGGUGAUUAAACUGUUGGAAAAGUGCUCACCAAUAUCCAAAAGCUCCUGUUGGGUGUAGGCAAAGCUGUUCAGUAUGAACAGACCUGAGAUGAGCAGGAAAAAUACUGCAAAAUUGCAAAAACUGGAGAGACGCCGAGCCUUGUGAUGUGUACGCGCCGCCAUUUUGGUCUACAAGAGGUAAGGGAGAAGAAGAGGUAAGGUAGAAGAAUAGGUUAGAGGGAAGAAGAGGUAAGGGAGAAUAAGAGGCUAGGGAGAAGAAGAUGUAAGGGAGAAGAAGACGUAAGGGAGAAGAAGAGGUAAGGGAGAAGAAGAGGUUAGGGAGAAGAAGAGGUUAGGGAGAAGAAGAGGUUAGGGAGAAGAAGAGGUUAGGGAGAAGAAGGGGUUAGGGAGAAGAAGAUGUAAGGGAGGGAUAAGAAUGUGUGCUGGACGGUGCAUUUUUAUGUUUGUUUGUUUUUUCCUCUUACACAUGUGGAACCUGUGAAAGCUUAUUUCUGCCAUGGAAUAUAAAGGCUAAAGGGUAAUUGUGACUUUUUUUCAUCUCACAGUUCUGACUACUAUUUUUUUUGCCAUUGUAAAUUUAUCUCACAAUUCUGAUAAAAGUCUGAAUUGCAAGAUGUAAACUCGCAAUUCCAAGAAUAGAAGUCCAAAUUGUGAGAUAAAAAGUUCACAAUUACGUUUUUUUAUCCUGUGACGGAAACAAGCUUGCAUAGUAACCAAGGGCCAUGUAUGUUGUAAUUUUUGUUGAUCUCUGGCAUCAGCUACCAUCCACAUCCAACCACCCCCACACCCACCCACCCACUGGAGAACAACUUCAAUCAAGGUUCCAACUGAAUUUCUGCAUAGAGGACCCUAUUUUUUCUAUUGUACAUUCUAUAAAGUAAUGACUUAUUCAGUUUUAGACAGUAUGUUGCCAAGAAUGAACACAUUUAACACAACCCAUUUUGCUGAACUAUAAACACUAUUCCCCUGCUUUAACACAUGAGUCAGAUUUGGUGAACUCUUACUGCAAAACUCUACACACAAAUCCCCACAUUUCUCAGUGCUUACACCAUGUGGUCAUUUAGAAAGCACUAGCAUUCAAUAUUGUUCACUCAAGUCAGCAUAACUUGAGCUCAGUUAGCACACAGAUACCCACGUGGAAACACUAAGAGUCAAAAUGUAUCACACACCAGUCAGAACCUUCAAUAGAUAGAUAAAAGAGCCCCAUUCACUUCAUUCAGUUUUGGAACAAUGGAUCCAGAGAGACGUGAUUGAAAAGGUCGAGGACACCAGAGAGGAGGAAGAGGAUGAGCAAGAGCAGUAAGGAGUGGAGGAAGAGGUGAAGGAAGAGAAAGAGGAGGAGGACAAGGAUGAGGAUGAGGGGCAAGGAGACAAGGAGUCUUAGAUGAAAUUUGUGCCACUAGUUGACCAUGUCCUUGUCCAUGGUAUGACUAUGAGCGAGCCUGGGCAAUGAGUUCAGCCAAACUUAAGUUGCUUCACCGUCGCCUCGAUCAUAAGAACAUUCAGGGAGGUGUACCUCAGUGUACUCUACUGUAACUUUUGACAGCUGUACUCUGUUACAACACAUGCAUCAAAUUGCCUUACAUACAGAUAGAGUUUCUGUCUGCUUCCAUUUUGUAAAAAGUACUUUUGCAAAAUGAGUACUUCUAUUUUUGUAGGACACAGAGACGAUGGAAUGGAAGAAGCCUGAAUAGACAUUACAGUUGAUGUGUGACAGGGUGGAUCAGUCAUGCGAGAGGAUUUUACCCCCGCUGCCUGGCUCGGGCCAGUAUAGCCUGUGAUGUCUGUCCCAG
This is a long non-coding RNA of Cyprinus carpio carpio, 3470 nucleotides long. The record is from Ensembl. NCBI's taxonomy places the organism in Eukaryota, Metazoa, Chordata, Actinopteri, Cypriniformes, Cyprinidae.